This 253-nucleotide ribosomal RNA is filed under the name uncultured bacterium. RNAcentral's name for it is "partial 16S ribosomal RNA". It matches the Rfam family "Bacterial small subunit ribosomal RNA", at positions 524 to 776 of the family's 1533-position model. The record is from RNAcentral.
UACGUAGGGGGCAAGCGUUGUUCGGAAUUACUGGGCGUAAAGGGCGCGUAGGCGGCACGGUAAGUCGGGAGUGAAAGCCCGGGGCUCAACCCCGGAACGUCUUUCGAAACUGCCGAGCUAGAGUGCGGAAGAGGCAACUGGAAUUCCCAGUGUAGCGGUGAAAUGCGUAGAUAUUGGGAAGAACACCUGAGGCGAAGGCGGGUUGCUGGGCCGACACUGACGCUGAGGCGCGAAAGCUAGGGGAGCAAACAGG